This 381-nucleotide unclassified non-coding RNA is filed under the name uncultured Alphaproteobacteria bacterium. RNAcentral's name for it is "contains 16S-23S intergenic spacer region". The record is from RNAcentral. Lineage: Bacteria; Pseudomonadati; Pseudomonadota; Alphaproteobacteria.
UCCGGUUUGUCACCGGCAGUCUCGCAUGAGUCCCCAGCUGAACUGCUGGCAACAUGCGACGGGGGUUGCGCUCGUUGCGGGACUUAACCCAACAUCUCACGACACGAGUUGACGACAGCCAUGCAGCACCUGUGUUCCCGCCAGCCGAACUGAAGGAUGCCGUCUCCGGCACCCAUACGGGACAUGUCAAAGGCUGGUAAGGUUCUGCGCGUUGCUUCGAAUUAAACCACAUGCUCCACCGCUUGUGCAGGCCCCCGUCAAUUUCUUUGAGUUUUAACCCUGCGGCCGUACUCCCCAGGCGGAUAACUUAAUGCGUUAGCUGCGCCACCAAAACUCUAAGAGCCCUGACAGCUAGUUAUCAUCGUUUACGGCGUGGACUAC